Long non-coding RNA from Bufo bufo (common toad), 3972 nucleotides. RefSeq lists it as uncharacterized. The record is from RefSeq and is a predicted model, not a curated record. The transcript is spliced from 2 exons. Lineage: Eukaryota; Metazoa; Chordata; Amphibia; Anura; Bufonidae.
CACUUCCUUCUGGGAUUCGCAUCCCCACCUAUCCCUUUGGUUGAACUAGAUGGACUUUUUUCAACCGUAUAAACUAUGUAACUAUAUGUGUUGUACACGAAGGGCACUAAUAGUACUAGUCCCAGUUUGUCCACGACUAUAAAUAUAAACACAUGCUAUGAAUGUCCUGCAUUUGAUGACUCACAGACCUACGUGCGGCCCUGUACGAACUACUUGACCUAUACACAUAUGCAAUCUUUACUGCUAUAAAACAUACAGAUUCCAAUUUAUUCCCGAUACACACUUCCUCAUAGAAGUACAGCUAUGAGUGAAGCAGACUGACAGGAGGAGGAAUGUCACAUGUUAUAAAGUGAGAGAACCAGCUAGUGAACCCUGAUCACAAUUUUGUAAUACCCCUGCCACGGCUUUGCAAAACCCUGGUCAUGUCGCCUUUUGUAACAUUAAGCUGCCUGGUGCAUAGCAAGUUCAACAAAAAAACAAUCAUUACAGAAUUACUUUAAAAAUGAGGCGUCUUACACUAAAGGCUUUGUAUACAACCAUCAAUCUCAGAACUUUGUCAGGAACCUUCCCAUAAACGUUACCUAAAGCCAGUUCAAGCGCUAAAUGUGAAAGGUCUAUAGGCACCAAAUAACCAUCACCUUUGACCGUUCCCAAAAUCAUAGAACAUAAGACUGCUUGUGAUAUCAGUACUUGCUAUAUACUGUAGGUCAUGACAUUUAUUGAUUGGAAACUACUACUUCUAUGAACCAUAGAUAACCUAUAAUCCAGUCCUGAUGCCAAGAAUCAGGCUUCAUUUCCUGCAUGACUGGCAAAAAGAAUGGAUCUCUUUUAAAGAGAAUCUGUCAGCUCCAAAACAACUCCCCAAAUUAGAGUAAGCAAGAUAUAUUCUAAGUGAUGCAGAGUCCGGUUAUGUAAUUUUUAUCUUCAUGCUUACUUGUGUUUCGAUGCUGUGCUUAGACAAAUCAGCAGAAAAAUGUAUUGAGUGGAUUCCUGCUUGAGUCCUCUUUAUUAUGUGAGUGAGCUCAGGAGUCCUCGCAAUGCACUUUACUGAUGGUUUUUGAAGCACAGCGUAGACAGUGAGUAUGAAGAUAAAAAUUAUAUAAUCCGAUUCGGCGGCACUUACACUAUACACUGUUUACUUUACUUUGGGGCGUGUUUUGGAGCUGACAGAUCCCCUUUAAAGGGAGGUCCACAUCUGGCUGGCAACAGAAAGUUACAUUGGUAGCACAACUCUCGCACCUGAUACAGACAGCCGUUCCAAUUAACGUCAGCAAAAACAGAUGUAUGUGGCGUCCAUAUGGUCUCUGUGUGUACCCAUUUUUUUAAAAUAAAUAAAUAAAUGAAGGAAGGGUCAUAAUACAGAAUAGAAUAGUGCAUGCAGUGGCAAGCAACAGAUGUACGCACAUGGAUGUAUACUAGUCCCACUGUACUCAAGUCAAACUUGAUAGUCCACAAACAGAUUCCUUACCACAGGAGUCUUAGUAGGUAGCGAAAACCCAGAUAGUUGUGAUAUACCACCAAGUAGAGAUAAUAAAGAGGCGGUGACUGAUCUUAAAAUUACAGUACACUCUUUAUCCGGAAACAGAAAACCCCAAAAGUCUCAUAAUCCUGCACAGACCAGGAAACUAUUGUUAUUAGAGAACAACGUUUUAAGAUAUUUCGUAUUAACGGGGUUGUCCCUGAUGAGGCAACCCCUUUCAUAAUGCUCUUCCCUGCGUGAUGAGCCGAUUGCUCCAGGUCCUGCUCCAGGUGCCACCAACAAAUAGCUGAUUUUGCUGAGGGAAAGUCACAGCCAGCAAAGCACAAUCUACAGGACAAAUAAAGCAUUAUCAUCAUAUGAUGGCCAUUCAGAUGAGAGCCCAUCCUGAAUACAAGGGCAGCUUGAGUCCACCAGAAUGGCAGAUGUUGAUACAGAGCAGAUCUCUGUCCUAGCUCAUAGAGAGAGGGGGACCCCACUCUACAAUGUCCAUAUUCCCUAAUAGGGCACAAAGAUGGGGGUUUAAUUCAACAAUUUUUUUUUAUGGAUCAUCUUCCUGAAGGUUCUCUACCCUUGGAAGGGAGUUUCUAUGACCUACUGCUAAUCAAGUAUUUGAUAACCCAUCAAGUCACUAAUUGAUGGUUUAUAUUAAAGGAAUUUUACUUUAGAUCAGCGAUCCCCAACCACCAGGCCGCAGACCAGUACCAGGCCAUGGAUCAGCUAGUACUAGUCCAUGGGGAGUUGAACGGCGGUGACAGGCACUAUUAUCUCCUGCACCCCGCCGUUUAGUACAGGUGGCGUGACAAUGUCAUCACGCCACCAGAGACCCAAUGCAGGAGGUUGCUAUAACAUUUGCGACCUCCUGUACCAUAAUGCAGGGAGCCGGGGCAGCAGGCUAGAAAAGACCUGUAUCGCAGACCGCCAGUCUUUUUUUUUUCUGAGUUGUGAACACUACUGGGGGCACUAGGGAGGAGGGGUUGAGGCAUUAUAUACUGGGGGGCACUAUAAGUAAAGAAGGUGAUCUAUAUGUAAAGAGACCACUACUGGGGGCACCAAGGAGGAGAGGUUGGUGCAUUAUUUACUUUGAGGCACUAUAUCUAAAGAGGCACUACUGGGGAAGAGAGCCAUAUUUAAAGAGACCACUACUGGGGGACACUAUGUUUAAAGAGGCCACAACUGGGGGGCACUUUAUGUAACGAGGCCACUACUGGGGGGCAUUUUAUGUGAAGAGGGCACUUCUGGGGGGUAUUUUAUGUGAAGAGGGCACUACUGGGGGGGGGAAUUAUAUCUACUGGUGCCUAAAUGGGGAUAAUUACUAAGUAGGUGCAUAAAAGGAUCCAUUAAUACUAAAUAGAUGUACUCAAUUAUACAGAAAGAAGUUAUGGUCAAGAGAUGUCAUCAGAGUGAUACGCGCAGGACUGAGAAAAAAAAGGAAAGAACGACUCCAGUGGAGGAGACCUCACCUGAAAGUCACUGAAUGGGGGGGACAUUACCUGUAAGUCACUGAAUGGUGGCAUAAAUGGGAAAAUUAUUUUAUGUGAAACCAGUCCCUGGUACAAAAAAGGCUGGUGACCACUGCUUUAGAUGACCACUGCUUUAGAUGACCACCAAGGGCCUUUACAGGAACCAAAACGACCUCACAGUGCUCGGCAGAAUUUUAUGUUGUCCAUAGUCACAGUAACAUCAUUUACAUGAACAAUUUUCUAGUGAGGAGAAUAAACUUUUGUAAAACAGGAAAUUACUAAGAAAAUGUUUGCUUUUCAUAAUUGGGGAUACUUCCUCCAGAUUAGUUUAUAUUGGAGGAGAGACAAGAGAAUGCAAGACAUGCAAUGAGAAAAUAUUACACAGCCAUCGAUAGCCAAACACAUCUCCGACAGUCCUACAUGGAUCUGCUUGACCUGUUUAGUGUGAUGCCAGAUAGACUUUAUGUAGACAGGGAGCACAUCUCCAUGCACAGUGAUCCUGGACACUUCCUCAACGGCAACAUGGAACCGAUUUACCAGAAUCACUUGGUGUUUUGUUUAGUGAUGUGAUGUCUUCCUUCCAAAUUGUUUAACGAAAAGGUGAGAAAAGAAAGAAGAAGAAUCCUAUACAAAUCUGAAAAGCAAUUUCUGAAAACUGUGGCAGCGAAAAGAACAUUCGUCAGAGUGAUGCAGCCCAUGCGCACCCAGCCCUGCCAGAUGGAGGGAAUCCGCUCUGUCUGUUUUCAUUUACUAUAGCGGCGUGGGAAGGAGCGAGAAGAUAAAAGAUCCAAGGGAACAUCUUAAGAAGACGCCUUCCCCUCUUCUUCACACGUCUGGUUCAUCAUCUCUGUAAUAAUCUGGGACAGACUAAGAUGGAGAACACAAGAAUGCAGUCGACAGAAAUGAAUGGGGAUUUUACCGGCUAAACCCAACAUGUAACAUGAAAAGCCGUAUUCUGAAAGUCACAUCUAAAUGUGCCAGGAAUUGGAUUUCUGGUACCCGAUUAUAAAGUUUAGAGCUUCACAGAAAAAA